This 73-nucleotide transfer RNA is filed under the name Streptococcaceae bacterium. RNAcentral describes it as "tRNA-Lys". It matches the Rfam family "tRNA". Rfam says of the family: Transfer RNA (tRNA) molecules are approximately 80 nucleotides in length. The record is from RNAcentral. Lineage: Bacteria; Bacillati; Bacillota; Bacilli; Lactobacillales; Streptococcaceae. RNAcentral also lists the same sequence under 1 other name.
GCCUCCUUAGCUCAGUUGGUAGAGCAGUGGACUCUUAAUCCAUGGGUCGCAGGUUCGAGCCCUGCAGGGGGCA